Molecule: ribosomal RNA, 492 nt
Filed under: uncultured bacterium
Lineage: Bacteria
Description: partial 16S ribosomal RNA
Rfam family: Bacterial small subunit ribosomal RNA
Source: RNAcentral
AGUGAACGCUGGCGGUAGGCCUAACACAUGCAAGUCGAACGGCAGCACAGUAAGAGCUUGCUCUUACGGGUGGCGAGUGGCGGACGGGUGAGGAAUACAUCGGAAUCUACUUUUUCGUGGGGGAUAACGUAGGGAAACUUACGCUAAUACCGCAUACGACCUACGGGUGAAAGCAGGGGAUCUUCGGACCUUGCGCGAUUGAAUGAGCCGAUGUCGGAUUAGCUAGUUGGCGGGGUAAAGGCCCACCAAGGCGACGAUCCGUAGCUGGUCUGAGAGGAUGAUCAGGCACACUGGAACGUGGACAAGGACCAGAGGCCUACGGGAGGGAGCAGUGGGGAAUGUUGGACAAUGGGGGCAAGCCUGAUCCAACCAUACCGCGUGGGUGAAAAAAGACUUGGGGGUGUAAAGCCCUUUUGUUGGGAAAGAAAAGCAGCAGGUUAAUACCCCGCUGUUCUGACGGUACCCAAAGAAUAAGCACCGGCUAACUUCGUG